RNAcentral lists this ribosomal RNA (481 nucleotides) under uncultured bacterium. Its description in RNAcentral is "bacterial SSU rRNA". It matches the Rfam family "Bacterial small subunit ribosomal RNA", at positions 30 to 504 of the family's 1533-position model. The record is from RNAcentral.
UGAACGCUAGCGGCAGGCUUAACACAUGCAAGUCGAACGGUAACAGGAUUGAUUUAUCAAUUGCUGACGAGUGGCGCACGGGUGCGUAACACGUAUGCAACCUACCCUUUACAGGAGAAUAUCCCCGAGAAAUCGGGAUUAAUACUUCAUGGUAUCAUAAGAUCGCAUGGUCUAAUGAUUAAAGUUUCGGCGGUAAAGGAUGGGCAUGCGGUCUAUUAGUUUGUUGGUAAGGUAACGGCUUACCAAGACUUCGAUAGAUAGGGGGUCUGAGAGGAUGAUCCCCCACACUGGUACUGAGACACGGACCAGACUCCUACGGGAGGCAGCAGUGAGGAAUAUUGGUCAAUGGAGGAAACUCUGAACCAGCCAUGCCGCGUGCAGGAAGACGGCCCUACGGGUUGUAAACUGCUUUUAUUUGGGAAGAAACCCUGAUACGUGUAUCAGGCUGACGGUACCAAACGAAUAAGCACCGGCUAACUCC